Molecule: ribosomal RNA, 252 nt
Filed under: uncultured bacterium
Lineage: Bacteria
Description: partial 16S ribosomal RNA
Rfam family: Bacterial small subunit ribosomal RNA
Source: RNAcentral
UACGUAGGGUGCGAGCGUUAAUCGGAAUUACUGGGCGUAAAGCGUGCGCAGGCGGUGAUGUAAGACAGUUGUGAAAUCCCCGGGCUCAACCUGGGAACUGCAUCUGUGACUGCAUCGCUGGAGUGCGGCAGAGGGGGAUGGAAUUCCGCGUGUAGCAGUGAAAUGCGUAGAUAUGCGGAGGAACACCGAUGGCGAAGGCAAUCCCCUGGGCCUGCACUGACGCUCAUGCACGAAAGCGUGGGGAGCAAACAG